Molecule: ribosomal RNA, 253 nt
Filed under: uncultured prokaryote
Description: partial 16S ribosomal RNA
Rfam family: Bacterial small subunit ribosomal RNA
Source: RNAcentral
ACGAAGGUGGCAAGCGUUGUUCGGAAUCACUGGGCAUAAAGCGCACGUAGGCGGCUAAGUAAGUCGGAUGUGAAAUACCUCGGCUCAGCCGAGGAACUGCGUCCGAUACUGCUUGGCUUGAGGUCCGGAGGGGAGAGUGGAAUUCCCGGUGGAGCGGUGAAAUGCGUAGAGAUCGGGAAGAACGCCGGCGGCGAAAGCGACUCUCUGGUCGGAAUCUGACGCUGAGGUGCGAAAGCUAGGGGAGCAAACGGGA